UACGUAGGGGGCGAGCGUUGUCCGAAUUUAUUGGGCGUAAAGAGCGUGUAGGCGGUUCGGUAAGUCUGUCGUGAAAUCCUGAGGCUCAACCUCGGGCGUGCGAUGGAUACUGCCGGGCUAGAGGGUGGUAGAGGCGAGUGGAAUUCCCGGUGUAGCGGUGAAAUGCGCAGAUAUCAGGAGGAACACCGGUGGCGAAGGCGGGUCUCUGGGCCGAUACUGACGCUGAGGAGCGAAAGCGUGGGGAGCGAACAGG
This 253-nucleotide ribosomal RNA is filed under the name uncultured bacterium. RNAcentral's name for it is "partial 16S ribosomal RNA". It matches the Rfam family "Bacterial small subunit ribosomal RNA", at positions 524 to 776 of the family's 1533-position model. The record is from RNAcentral.